Molecule: ribosomal RNA, 433 nt
Filed under: uncultured bacterium
Lineage: Bacteria
Description: partial 16S ribosomal RNA
Rfam family: Bacterial small subunit ribosomal RNA
Source: RNAcentral
AACGAACGCUGGCGGCAUGCCUAACACAUGCAAGUCGAACGAGACCUUCGGGUCUAGUGGCGCACGGGUGCGUAACGCGUGGGAACCUGCCCUUAGGUUCGGAAUAACUCCCCGAAAGGGGUGCUAAUACCGGAUAAUGUCUUCGGACCAAAGAUUUAUCGCCUUUGGAUGGGCCCGCGUUGGAUUAGCUAGUUGGUAGGGUAAAAGCCUACCAAGGCGACAAUCCAUAGCUGGUCUGAGAGGAUGAUCAGCCACACUGGGACUGAGACACGGCCCAGACUCCUACGGGAGGCAGCAGUGGGGAAUAUUGGACAAUGGGCGAAAGCCUGAUCCAGCAAUGCCGCGUGAGUGAUGAAGGCCUUAGGGUUGUAAAGCGCUUUUACCCGGGAUGAUAAUGACAGUACCGGGAGAAUAAGCUCCGGCUAACUCCGUG